Molecule: non-coding RNA, 29 nt
Filed under: Mus musculus (house mouse)
Lineage: Eukaryota; Metazoa; Chordata; Mammalia; Rodentia; Muridae
Source: RNAcentral
UGGAUUGCUGACUUCAUGAGGACCUCUAC